UGCCCAGCAACUCCUGUCCAUACCUCCUCGUGGUACUGGCCGGGGUACGGAGUAACCUUGGGGAAGAUCGGGUAAUCAACCCCGGUGGGAAGUUUGGACGUAUACUGACAGGGAAGG
This 117-nucleotide ribozyme is filed under the name Aedes aegypti (yellow fever mosquito). RNAcentral's name for it is "drz-agam-1 ribozyme". It matches the Rfam family "drz-agam-1 ribozyme". Lineage: Eukaryota; Metazoa; Arthropoda; Insecta; Diptera; Culicidae. The record is from Rfam by way of RNAcentral.